RNAcentral lists this ribosomal RNA (254 nucleotides) under uncultured bacterium. Its description in RNAcentral is "partial 16S ribosomal RNA". It matches the Rfam family "Bacterial small subunit ribosomal RNA", at positions 524 to 776 of the family's 1533-position model. The record is from RNAcentral.
UACGUAGGCAGCGAGCGUUUGUUCGGAAUUACUGGGCGUAAAGAGUGUGUAGGCGGUGCUCUAAGUUCGGUGUGAAAUCUCCCGCUUAACUGGGAGGGUGCGCCGGGAAACUGGAGUGCUCGAGCGUGGGAGAGGAAAGCGGAAUUCCUGGUGUAGCGGUGAAAUGCGUAGAUAUCAGGAGGAACACCUGCGGUGUAGACGGCUUUCUGGACCAUUGCUGACGCUGAGACACGAAAGCGUGGGUAGCAAACAGG